AAACACGGACCAAGGAGUUUAUAGUACACGCGAGUCAUUGAGUUCCACGAACCUCAAAGGCGUAAUGAAAGUGAAACUAUCAAUAGUUGGAAUGCGAUCGGUGAAUUGUUUCGCGACGUUCGCCGAGCAGCGUUGCCCCAUUCCUGGAGCUUGCUCUGGUGUGGAGGUUGAGCGUGUGCAAUGAGACCCGAAAGAUGGUGAACUAUGCCUGAACAGGAUGAAGCCAGAGGAAACUCUGGUGGAAGUCCGAAGCGGUUCUGACGUGCAAAUCGAUCGUCUGAUUUUGGUAUAGGGGCGAAAGACUAAUCGAACUAUCUAGUAGCUGGAUCCUUC
Molecule: ribosomal RNA, 333 nt
Filed under: Ektaphelenchoides andrassyi
Lineage: Eukaryota; Metazoa; Nematoda; Chromadorea; Rhabditida; Aphelenchoididae
Description: eukaryotic LSU rRNA
Rfam family: Eukaryotic large subunit ribosomal RNA
Source: RNAcentral